Molecule: ribosomal RNA, 418 nt
Filed under: uncultured bacterium
Lineage: Bacteria
Description: partial 16S ribosomal RNA
Rfam family: Bacterial small subunit ribosomal RNA
Source: RNAcentral
CCUACGGGUGGCAGCAGUGGGGAAUAUUGGACAAUGGGGGAAACCCUGAUCCAGCGACGCCGCGUGAGUGAAGAAGGAGUUCGGUACGGAAAGCUCUAUCAGCAGGAAAGAAAAUGACGGUACCUGACUAAGAAGCCCCGGCUAACGACGUGCCAGCAGCCGCGGUAAUACGUAGGGGGCAAGCGUUCUCCGGAUUUCCUGGGUGUAAAGGGAGCGUAGACGGCAGCGCAAGUCUGGAGUGAACUGCCGGGGCCCAACCCCGGAACUGCUCUGGAAACUGGGAAGCUGGAGUGCAGGAGAGGUCAGCGGCAUUCCUGGUGUAGCGGUGCCAUGCGUAGAUAUCAGGAGGAACCCCGGCGGCGAAGGCGGCUUACUGGACUGUAACUGACGUUGAGGCUCGAAGGCGUGGGGAGCAAAC